UACGGAGGAUGCGAGCGUUAUCCGGAUUUAUUGGGUUUAAAGGGAGCGCAGACGGGAGAUUAAGUCAGUUGUGAAAGUUUGCGGCUCAACCGUAAAAUUGCAGUUGAUACUGGUUUCCUUGAGUGCAGUUGAGGCAGGCGGAAUUCGUGGUGUAGCGGUGAAAUGCUUAGAUAUCACGAAGAACUCCGAUUGCGAAGGCAGCUUGCUAAACUGUAACUGACGUUCAUGCUCGAAAGUGUGGGUAUCAAACAGG
Molecule: ribosomal RNA, 253 nt
Filed under: Phocaeicola coprocola DSM 17136
Lineage: Bacteria; Pseudomonadati; Bacteroidota; Bacteroidia; Bacteroidales; Bacteroidaceae
Description: partial 16S ribosomal RNA
Rfam family: Bacterial small subunit ribosomal RNA
Source: RNAcentral